GCUCGAGUGGCCUAAUGGUUAAGGCUUCUGCCUUCUACCGUUUAAAGCGAGAUAAUCGUGGUGGGAGCAGGAGAUUGUGGGUUCGAGUCCCACCCCGAGCU
Non-coding RNA from Kwoniella shandongensis, 101 nucleotides. Lineage: Eukaryota; Fungi; Basidiomycota; Tremellomycetes; Tremellales; Cryptococcaceae. The record is from the annotation of a GenBank genome assembly.